AGGUCUUCAGGUCGGGAGGUCCUCAAGAUGGAAAGACCUCAGGUCGGAAGGAUCUCAGGUCGGUAGGUCCUCAAGACGGAAAGACCUCAGGUCGGAAGGUCUUCAGGUCGGGAGGUCCUCAAGACGGAAAGUCAUCAGGACGGAAGGUCUUCAGGUCGGUAGGUCCUCAAGACGGAAA
Andrographis paniculata is the source of this 178-nucleotide long non-coding RNA. RefSeq lists it as uncharacterized. Lineage: Eukaryota; Viridiplantae; Streptophyta; Magnoliopsida; Lamiales; Acanthaceae. The record is from RefSeq and is a predicted model, not a curated record. The transcript is spliced from 2 exons.